This 440-nucleotide ribosomal RNA is filed under the name uncultured bacterium. RNAcentral's name for it is "partial 16S ribosomal RNA". It matches the Rfam family "Bacterial small subunit ribosomal RNA", at positions 338 to 795 of the family's 1533-position model. The record is from RNAcentral.
CCUACGGGUGGCAGCAGUGGGGAAUAUUGCACAAUGGGGGAAACCCUGAUGCAGCGACGCAGCGUGAGGGAGGAAGUAUUUCGGUAUGUAAAGCUCUAUCAGCAGGGAAGAAAAUGGCUGUACCUGACUAAUAUGCCCCGUCUAACUACGUUCCUGCAGCCGCGGUAAUACGGAGGGGGCAAGCGUUAUCCGGAUUUACUGGGUGUAAAGGGAGCGUAGACGGAAUAGCAAGUCUGAUGUGAAGACCCGGGGCUCAACUCCGGGAGUGCAUUGGAAACUGUUGAUCUAGAGUGUCGGAGAGGUAAGCGGAAUUCGUGGUGUAGCGGUGAAAUGCGUAGAUAUCAGGAGGAACACCAGUGGCGAAGGCGGCUUGCUGGACGAUGACUGACGUUGAUGCUCGAAAGCGUGGGGAGCAAACAGGAUUAGAUACCCGGGUAGUC